UAAAAUGAGAGUUUGAUCCUGGCUCAGGACGAACGUUGGCGGCGUGCCUAAUACAUGCAAGUCGAACGAGGUCUCCUAAAUGAUAUGACGUGCUUGCACUGAGUUGACUUUAGAUCGGACCGAGUGGCGAACUGGUGAGUAACACGUGGGUAACCUGCCCAGAAGUAGGGGAUAACACCUGGAAACAGAUGCUAAUACCGUAUAACAACUAAAACCGCCUGGUUUUAGUUUGAAAGCUGGCCUUGGUGCUAGUGCUUUUGGAUGGACCCGCGGCGUAUUAGCUAGUUGGUGAGAUAAUAGCUCACCAAGGCGAUGAUACGUAGCAGACCUGAGAGGGUAAUCUGCCACAAUGGGACUGAGACACGGCCCAUACUCCUACGGGAGGCAGCAGUAGGGAAUCUUCCACAAUGGACGCAAGUCUGAUGGAGCAACGCCGCGUGAGUGAAGAAGGGUUUCGGCUCGUAAAACUCUGUUGUUAGAGAAGAACGACUGUGAGAGGAACUGCUCACGGCGUGACGGUAUCUAACCAGAAAGUCACGGCUAACUACGUGCCAGCAGCCGCGGUAAUACGUAGGUGGCAAACGUUGUCCGGAUUUAUUGGGCGUAAAGCGAGCGCAGGCGGUUUUUUAAGUCUGGUGUGAAAGCCUUCGGCUUAACCGAAGAAGUGCAUCGGAAACUGGGAAACUUGAGUGCAGGAGAGGACAGUGGAACUUCAUGUGUAGCGGUGAAAUGCGUAGAUAUAUGAAGGAACACCAGUGGCGAAGGCGGCUGUCUAGUCUGCAUCUGACGCUGAGGCUCGAAAGCAUGGGUAGCAAACAGGAUUAGAUACCCUGGUAGUCCAUGCCGUAAACGAUGAAUGCUAGGUGUUGAGAGGUUUCCGCCUCCCAGUGCCGAAGCUAACGCAUUAAGCAUUCCGCCUGGGGAGUACGACCGCAAGGUUGAAACUCAAAGGAAUUGACGGGGACCCGCACAAGCGGUGGAGCAUGUGGUUUAAUUCGAUGCUACGCGAAGAACCUUACCAGGUCUUGACAUCUUCUGUUAGCCUAAGAGA
This 1051-nucleotide ribosomal RNA is filed under the name Fructilactobacillus hinvesii. RNAcentral's name for it is "bacterial SSU rRNA". It matches the Rfam family "Bacterial small subunit ribosomal RNA", at positions 1 to 1006 of the family's 1533-position model. The record is from RNAcentral. Lineage: Bacteria; Bacillati; Bacillota; Bacilli; Lactobacillales; Lactobacillaceae.